CCGUCAGUCAUACCGGGUCAAAAAUUUUGACCCGAGCCCGCCCAUAAAACUCUUCGGGUCGGGUCGGGUCGGGCUAUUUUCGGACGGGUUGGGUCGGGUCCGUCGGGUCGGACAGCUCAUGCCCAAAUCUAACCAACGGAAGCCGCUUCUUCGACGGUGCCGGCAUCUUCUUCAGCAGUAGCCCGAUGCCUGAACCAUGGAUGCAACAUUCCGAUCCUACAUGGGUGCGUAUUUGGAGACUGAUCAGACUGAAACUCACGAAGUUUUACACCAACAGGAAGAGUGACAAUAUCAAGCUCAUCAACUCUUUUUACUGCUUCCACUUGCCAUUGUACGCUCUUUAGCCCACAAUUGUGCAAUGCCAAAACCAGGGGAGUUGC
Panicum virgatum (switchgrass) is the source of this 380-nucleotide long non-coding RNA. RefSeq lists it as uncharacterized. Lineage: Eukaryota; Viridiplantae; Streptophyta; Magnoliopsida; Poales; Poaceae. The record is from RefSeq and is a predicted model, not a curated record. The transcript is spliced from 2 exons.